This 240-nucleotide unclassified non-coding RNA is filed under the name soil metagenome. RNAcentral's name for it is "partial contains 5.8S ribosomal RNA, internal transcribed spacer 2, and large subunit ribosomal RNA". The record is from RNAcentral.
AAGACUAUAGACCUGCGGAGUACCUGCGGAAGGAUCAUUAUCGUAUUGUAACAAUUGGGGGGGCCACCGUGGGCUGUCGCUGACCCUUUGAAAGGGGGGUCGUGCACGCCCCCAUAGUGUCAUCCUCAUACAAUCCAACUCACCUCUGUGCAUCACCGCGUGGGUUCCUUUCUGGGUCGAGUCAGACUGGCUCAGAAAAAAGGGGCUUGCGUUUUCCAUACAAAUACCCUUAUAAAACCA